RNAcentral lists this ribosomal RNA (233 nucleotides) under uncultured bacterium. RNAcentral describes it as "partial 16S ribosomal RNA". It matches the Rfam family "Bacterial small subunit ribosomal RNA", at positions 100 to 334 of the family's 1533-position model. The record is from RNAcentral.
CGGGACGGGUGAGUAAUGUCUGGGAAACUGCCUGAUGGAGGGGGAUAACUGCUGGAAACGGUAGCUAAUACCGCAUAACGUCGCAAGACCAAAGAGGGGGACCUUCGGGCCUCUUGCCAUCGGAUGUGCCCAGAUGGGAUUAGCUAGUAGGUGGGGUAACGGCUCACCUAGGCGACGAUCCCUAGCUGGUCUGAGAGGAUGACCAGCCACACUGGAACUGGGACACGGUCCAG